GUGAUUCAAUUUAAUUUGAAUUUAUUUUAUUAUAAAUAUAUUUAGUUUAAUUAAAAUAUUAUAGAGUUUUAUUAUUUAUAAAGAAAAAAUUUUUUUAGUUAUAGAAAAUUAGUAUUGUGUAAGAAUUAGCAUAAAUGUGUUUAAGAAUAAUUAAUUUUUAGUACCUUGUGUAUCAGGGUUUAUUAAUUAAAUUUUAAUAUUUUAAAUUUCUCGAAUUAAUAAGAGUUAAUUAUUAAUAAAUUUUAUUGUAAAAUAAAUAUUUAAAAUUAAUAGUUAGUAAUGAAACGUUAUUCGUUUAUUAAAAUAUCUAGUUUUUUAAGAAAAAAAUUUAAUUUUAUUUAUAAUAUUUAUUUUUAUUAUUAAUUUAUUUAUAAAUUAUAUAAUUAGGGAUUAGCUUAAUUAUUGAUCAUUAAAAAUAAUUUUAUUAAUAAAAAUUUGUAGGAUUAGAAAUUUUCAUCUUUUAGUUUGUUAUAAUUAUUUUUUUUAUAGGAUAAAAAUUUAAAUUUAUUUUAAUUUAUUUAUUAAAAUAUUAAAAUUAAUAUUUAUAUUUUAAGUAAUAAUGAUAAAAUUAGUAUAAGUAUAUUGUUUUAUAUUUUAUAAAUUAUAGGUUAUAAUAAGGAAUUCGGCAAAUUUAUUUUUCGCCUGUUUAUUAAAAACAUGUCUUUUUGUUUAAAAUUUAAAGUCUGACCUGCCCAAUGAAAAUUUUAAUGGCCGCAGUAUUUUGACUGUGCAAAGGUAGCAUAAUCAUUAGUUUUUUAAUUGAAAGCUGGAAUGAAGGGUUUGACGAGAAAGUGGCUGUCUCUUUAUAAAUUUUUUAUAAUUUUAUUUUUAAGUUAAAAAGCUUAAAUUUAUUUAAAAGACGAGAAGACCCUAUAGAGUUUUAUAUAAUUUUAUUUAAUAAUUUAAUUAGUAUAAAAAAAAUUUUAUUAAAAAUUGUAUUUUAUUGGGGUGAUGGAAAGAUUUAUUUAACUUUUUUUUGAUAAAAACAUUAAUUUAUGAUUAUUUGAUCCAAAUAUUUUGAUUAUAAGAUUUAAUUACCUUAGGGAUAACAGCGUAAUUUCUUUAGAGAGUUCAAAUCGAUAGAGAAGUUUGCGACCUCGAUGUUGGAUUAAAAUAAAUUUUUGGUGUAGAAGCUAAGAAGAUUAGGUCUGUUCGACCUUUAAAUUUUUACAUGAUCUGAGUUUAAACCGGUGUAAGCCAGGUUGGUUUCUAUCUUUAAAUAAAUUAAAUAUUUUAGUACGAAAGGACCAAGUAUUUGUAAAAUUUACUAUUAUUAGAAUUAAAUUAAUAU
This 1291-nucleotide ribosomal RNA is filed under the name Staphylinidae sp. BMNH 1274173. Its description in RNAcentral is "large subunit ribosomal RNA". The stretch from base 1045 to 1204 matches the Rfam family "Archaeal large subunit ribosomal RNA", at positions 2542 to 2701 of the family's 2987-position model. The record is from RNAcentral. Lineage: Eukaryota; Metazoa; Arthropoda; Insecta; Coleoptera; Staphylinidae.